RNAcentral lists this non-coding RNA (877 nucleotides) under Clostridium sp. BL8. Its description in RNAcentral is "Bacterial large subunit ribosomal RNA". It matches the Rfam family "Bacterial large subunit ribosomal RNA", at positions 879 to 1764 of the family's 2925-position model. Lineage: Bacteria; Bacillati; Bacillota; Clostridia; Eubacteriales; Clostridiaceae. The record is from Rfam by way of RNAcentral.
CGUCGAUUAACUGAGUAAUGGUAGAGCACUGAAUAGGCUAGGGGGCAUAUCGCUUACCGAACCUUAUCAAACUCCGAAUGCCAUAUACUUUUAUUUCGGCAGUCAGACUGCGAAUGAUAAGAUCCGUAGUCAAAAGGGAAACAGCCCAGACCAUCAGCUAAGGUCCCAAAGUGUAAGUUAAGUGGUAAAGGAUGUGGGAUUUCUAAGACAACUAGGAUGUUGGCUUAGAAGCAGCCACUCAUUUAAAGAGUGCGUAAUAGCUCACUAGUCAAGAGAUCCCGCGCCGAAGAUGUCCGGGGCUAAAACUUACCACCGAAGCUAUGGAUGUACACUAUGUGUACGUGGUAGAGGAGCUUUCUGCAUUGGCUGAAGUCAUACCGUAAGGAGUGGUGGACGAUGCAGAAGUGAGAAUGUUGGCAUAAGUAGCGAGAGCCAGGUGAGAAUCCUGGCGGUCGAAAACCUAAGGUUUCCUGAGGAAGGCUCGUCCUCUCAGGGUUAGUCGGGACCUAAGCCGAGGCCGAAAGGCGUAGGUGAUGGACAACUGGUUGAUAUUCCAGUACUACCAACUGACGUUAUCAGAAAUGGGGUGACGCAGGAGGAUAGGAUGUGCACACUGUUGGAUGUGUGUCUAAGCGUUUAGGAGUAGCUGGCAGGCAAAUCCGCCAGCCGAAUCUGAGGCGUGAUGGGGAGCUCGUAUGAGCGAAGUAUCUGAUUCCACGCUGCCAAGAAAAGCCUCUAUCGAGGAAGUUGGUACCCGUACCGCAAACCGACACAGGUAGGUGAGGAGAGAAUCCUAAGACCAUCGGAAGAAUUGCUGUUAAGGAACUCGGCAAAUUGACCCCGUAACUUCGGGAGAAGGGGUGCCACCGACUGAUGA